UACGAAGGGGGCUAGCGUUGUUCGGAAUCACUGGGCGUAAAGGGUGCGUAGGCGGAUUCUUAAGUCAGGGGUGAAAUCCCGAGGCUCAACCUCGGAACUGCCUUUGAUACUGGGGAUCUUGAGUCCGGAAGAGGUGAGUGGAACUGCGAGUGUAGAGGUGAAAUUCGUAGAUAUUCGCAAGAACACCAGUGGCGAAGGCGGCUCACUGGUCCGGAACUGACGCUGAGGCACGACAGCGUGGGGAG
Molecule: ribosomal RNA, 245 nt
Filed under: uncultured Methylovirgula sp.
Lineage: Bacteria; Pseudomonadati; Pseudomonadota; Alphaproteobacteria; Hyphomicrobiales; Beijerinckiaceae
Description: partial 16S ribosomal RNA
Rfam family: Bacterial small subunit ribosomal RNA
Source: RNAcentral